AAAUCCCCGCAAGGGGAUGAGUAUAGUGGCGACCGGGUGAGUAACACGUGACUACCUGCCCUUGAGUGGGGGAUAACCUCGGGAAGCCGAGGCUAAUACCGCAUAAUAUCGCAAGAUCAAAGGAGCAAUCCGCUUUUGGAGGGGGUCGCGGCUGAUUAGCUAGUUGGUAGGGUAAUGGCCUACCAAGGCGAAGAUCGGUAUCCGGCCUGAGAGGGCGCACGGACACACUGGAACUGAAACACGGUCCAGACUCCUACGGGAGGCAGCAGUGGGGAAUUUUGCGCAAUGGGGGAAACCCUGACGCAGCAACGCCGCGUGGAGGAUGAAGCCCCUUGGG
Molecule: ribosomal RNA, 337 nt
Filed under: uncultured bacterium
Lineage: Bacteria
Description: bacterial SSU rRNA
Rfam family: Bacterial small subunit ribosomal RNA
Source: RNAcentral